GACGAACGCUGGCGGCGUGCCUAAUACAUGCAAGUAGAACGCAAAGUUUAUACCGUAGCUUGCUACACCAUAGACUGUGAGUUGCGAACGGGUGAGUAACGCGUCGGUAACCUGCCUGGUAGCGGGGGAUAACUAUUGGAAACGAUAGCUAAUACCGCAUACUAUUGAUUAUUGCAUGAUAAUUAAUUGAAAGGUGCAAUUGCACCACUACCAGAUGGACCUGCGUUGGAUUAGCUAGUAGGUGAGGUAACGGCGCACCUAGGCGACGAUACAUAGCCGACCUGAGAUGGUGAUCGGCCACACUGGGACUGUGACACGGCCCAGACUCCUACGGGAGGCAGCAGUAGGGAAUCUUCGGCAAUGGACGAAAGUCUGACCGAGCAACGCCGCGGGAGUGAAGAAGGUGUUCGGAUCGUAAAGCUCUGUUGUAAGAGAAGAACGGGUGUGAGAGUGGAAAGUUCACACUGUGACGGUAACUUACCAGAAAGGGACGGCUAACUACGUG
RNAcentral lists this ribosomal RNA (505 nucleotides) under uncultured bacterium. RNAcentral's name for it is "partial 16S ribosomal RNA". It matches the Rfam family "Bacterial small subunit ribosomal RNA", at positions 28 to 507 of the family's 1533-position model. The record is from RNAcentral.